Molecule: ribosomal RNA, 211 nt
Filed under: uncultured bacterium
Lineage: Bacteria
Description: partial 16S ribosomal RNA
Rfam family: Bacterial small subunit ribosomal RNA
Source: RNAcentral
GACGAACGCUGGCGGCGUGCUUAACACAUGCAAGUCGAGCGGUAAGGCCCUUUCGGGGGUACGACGAGCGGCGAACGGGUGAGUAACACGUGGGUGACCUGCCUCUAGCUCUGGGAUAAGCCCGGGAAACUGGGGUCUAAUACGUGGAUAUGACUCCAUGACGCAUGUUGUGGGGUGAAAGCCUUGUGCGGCUAGAGAUGGGCCCGCGGCC